GUGAGGAAUUUUCCGCAAUGGGCGAAAGCCUGACGGAGCAAUGUCGCGUGAAGGAUGACGGCCUAUGGGUUGUAAACUUCUUUUCUCAGAAAAGAAUUAUGACGGUAUCUGAGGAAUAAGCAUCGGCUAACUCUGUGCCAGCAGCCGCGGUAAGACAGAGGAUGCAAGCGUUAUCCGGAAUGAUUGGGCGUAAAGCGUCUGUAGGUUGUUUAAAAAGUAUUCUGUCAAAGAUUAGGGCUUAACCCUAGAUAGGCAGAAUAAACUUUUAAGCUAGAGUUUGGUAGAGGCAGAGGGAAUUCCCGGUGGAGCGGUGAAAUGCGUAGAUAUCGGGAGGAACACCAAAGGCGAAGGCACUCUGCUGGGCCAAUACUAACACUGAGAGACGAAAGCGAGGGGAGCAAAUGGGAUUAGAAACCCCAGUAGUCC
This 426-nucleotide ribosomal RNA is filed under the name uncultured bacterium. RNAcentral describes it as "partial 16S ribosomal RNA". It matches the Rfam family "Bacterial small subunit ribosomal RNA", at positions 354 to 796 of the family's 1533-position model. The record is from RNAcentral.